UGAGGAAUAUUGCGCAAUGGGCGAAAGCCUGACGCAGCGACGCCGCGUGGAGGAUGAAGGUCUUCGGAUUGUAAACUUCUGUUAAGUGGGAAGAAAGGGCUGUUUUUAAUAGAAGCAGUUAAUGACGGUACCAUUAAAGAAAGCACCGGCUAAACUCGUGCCAGCAGCCGCGGUAAUACGAGUGGUGCAAGCGUUAUUCGGAAUAAUUGGGCGUACAGGGUGUGUAGGCGGUAUGUUAAGUCUGUUGUUAAAGACUCCGGCCUAACCGGAGACAGGCAGCGGAAACUGGCGUACUAGAGGGUGGAAGAGAGAAGUGGAAUUCUCGGUGUAGCGGUAAAAUGCGUAGAUAUCGAGAGGAACACCGAUGGCGAAGGCAGCUUCUUGGUCCAUACCUGACGCUGAAACACGAAAGCGUGGGGAGCAAACAG
Molecule: ribosomal RNA, 428 nt
Filed under: uncultured bacterium
Lineage: Bacteria
Description: bacterial SSU rRNA
Rfam family: Bacterial small subunit ribosomal RNA
Source: RNAcentral